UAGCGGCAGGCUUAACACAUGCAAGUCGAGGGGUAUAGUUCUUCGGAAUUAGAGACCGGCGCGACGGGUGCGUAACGCGUAUGCAAUCUACCUUUCACAGAGGGAUAGCCCAGAGAAAUUUGGAUUAAUACCUCAUAGUAUAGCAGUUUCGCAUGAAACCACUAUUAAAGUUCCAACGGUGAAAGAUGAGCAUGCGUCCCAUUAGCUAGAUGGUAAGGUAACGGCUUACCAUGGCUACGAUGGGUAGGGGUCCUGAGAGGGAGAUCCCCCCACACUGGUACUGAGACACGGACCAGACUCCUACGGGAGGCAGCAGUGAGGAAUAUUGGACAAUGGGCGCAAGCCUGAUCCAGCCAUGCCGCGUGCAGGAUGACGGUCCUAUGGAUUGUAAACUGCUUUUAUACAGGAAGAAACACUCCGACGUGUCGGAGCUUGACGGUACUGUAAGAAUAAGGAUCGGCUAACUCCGUG
RNAcentral lists this ribosomal RNA (471 nucleotides) under uncultured bacterium. Its description in RNAcentral is "bacterial SSU rRNA". It matches the Rfam family "Bacterial small subunit ribosomal RNA", at positions 37 to 507 of the family's 1533-position model. The record is from RNAcentral.